GACGAACGCUGGCGGCGUGCUUAACACAUGCAAGUCGAACGGAAAGGCCCUGCUUUUGUGGGGUGCUCGAGUGGCGAACGGGUGAGUAACACGUGAGUAACCUGCCCUUGACUUUGGGAUAACUUCAGGAAACUGGGGCUAAUACCGGAUAGGAGCUCCUGCUGCAUGGUGGGGGUUGGAAAGUUUCGGCGGUUGGGGAUGGACUCGCGGCUUAUCAGCUUGUUGGUGGGGUAGUGGCUUACCAAGGCUUUGACGGGUAGCCGGCCUGAGAGGGUGACCGGCCACAUGGGGCCUGAGAUACGGCCCAGACGCCUACGGGAGGCAGCAGUGGGGAAUAUUGCACAGUGGGCGGAAGCCUGAGGCAGCAACGCCGCGUGCGGGAUGACGGCCUUCGGGUUGUAAACCGCUUUCGCCUGUGACGAAGCGUGAGUGACGGUAAUGGGUAAAGAAGCACCGGCUAACUACGUG
RNAcentral lists this ribosomal RNA (468 nucleotides) under uncultured bacterium. Its description in RNAcentral is "partial 16S ribosomal RNA". It matches the Rfam family "Bacterial small subunit ribosomal RNA", at positions 28 to 507 of the family's 1533-position model. The record is from RNAcentral.